This 910-nucleotide ribosomal RNA is filed under the name uncultured bacterium. Its description in RNAcentral is "bacterial SSU rRNA". It matches the Rfam family "Bacterial small subunit ribosomal RNA", at positions 8 to 913 of the family's 1533-position model. The record is from RNAcentral.
AGGGUUUGAUCAUGGCUCAGAACGAACGCUGGCGGCGUGCUUAACACAUGCAAGUCGAACGAGAACGUUCCUUCGGGAACAAGUAGAGUGGCGCACGGGUGAGUAACGCGUGGGUAAUCUGCCCUUGGGUGGGGGAUAACUUCGGGAAACUGAAGCUAAUACCGCAUAAGUCGGAGACGAGAAAGAUGGGGAUCUUCGGACCUGUCGCCCUUGGAUGAGCCCGCGUAUCAUUAGGUAGUUGGUGGGGUAAUGGCCUACCAAGCCGAAGAUGAUUAGCUGGUCUGAGAGGAUGAUCAGCCACACUGGGACUGAGACACGGCCCAGACUCCUACGGGAGGCAGCAGUGGGGAAUAUUGCGCAAUGGAGGAAACUCUGACGCAGCAACGCCGCGUGUGUGAAGAAGGCCCUCGGGUCGUAAAGCACUGUUGAGUAGGAAGAGACGACUGCGAUUAAUACCCGCAGUCCCGACGGUACUACUUUAGAAAGCACCGGCUAACUCCGUGCCAGCAGCCGCGGCAAUACGGAGGGUGCAAGCGUUGUUCGGAAUUAUUGGGCGUAAAGGGCGCGUAGGCGGGCCAUUAAGUCUGAUGUGAAAUCCCUCGGCUCAACCGAGGACGUGCAUUGGAAACUGAUGGUCUUGAGUCCUGGAGAGGAAAGCGGAAUUCCCAGUGUAGAGGUGAAAUUCGUAGAUAUUGGGAGGAACACCAGCGGCGAAGGCGGCUUUCUGGACAGUGACUGACGCUGAGGUGCGAAAGCGUGGGUAGCAAACAGGAUUAGAUACCCUGGUAGUCCACGCCGUAAACGAUGGGUACUAGUUGGUGCGGGUGUUGACCCCUGCGCUGACGCAGCUAACGCAUUAAGUACCCCGCCUGGGGAGUACGGCCGCAAGGCUAAAACUCAAAGGAAUUGA